GGCCGGAUGAGAAGUGGGAGACGGGGAGCGUUUUGACACCCUCGGAGACCCGGUGUAGCAGGAAGAGCCCAUUGAUGGGGAAGGUGGGGGCGGUUGUGCACCUCAAGCAGCCCCUCAAGGCCACGAGGAUCAGUGCUCGGAGCCUGGAGGGCUGUGUGCAGGAGUAGCAGGGCCACUGAUGCCAGCGGGAAGGCCAGGCAGGGCUUCUGGGUGGAGUUCAAGGUGCAUCCUGACCGCUGUCACCUUCAGACUCUGUCCCCUGGGGCUGGGGCAAGUGCCCGAUGGGAGCGCAGGGUCUGGGACUGUAGGGUCCAGCCCUACGGAGCUUAGCAGGUGUUCUCCCCGUGUGUGGAGAUGAGAGAUUGUAAUAAAUAAAGACACAAGACAAAGAGAUAAAGAGAAAACAGCUGGGCCCCGGGGACCACUACCACAAAGACACGGAGACCGGUAGUGGCCCUGAACGGCUGGGCUCGCUGAUAUUUAUUGCAUACAAGACAAGGGGGCAGGAUAAGGAGGGUCAGUCUUCUAAGUGAUUGACAAGGUGAAGCAAGUCACGUGAUCACAGGACAGCGGGCCCUUCCCUCUUAGGUAGCUGAAGCAGAGAGAGAAGGCGGCAGGCAUCAGCGUUUUCUUCUAUGAACUUAUAAGAUCAAAGACUUUAAGACUUUCACUAUUUCUUCUACCGCUAUCUACUACGAACUUCAAAGAGGAACCAGGAGUACGGAAGGAGCAUGAAAGUGGACAAGGAACGUGACCAUUGAAGCACCACAGGGAGGGGUUCAGGCCUCCGGAUGACUGCAGGCAGGCCUGGGUAACAUCCAGCCUCCCACAAGAAGCUGGUGGAGCAGAGCGUUCCCUGACUCCUCCAAGGAAAGGAGACUCCCUUUCCCGGUCUGCUCAGUAACGGGUGCCUUCCCAGACACUGGCGUUACCGCUUGACCAAGGGGCCCUCAAGCGGCCCUUAUGCGGGCAUGACAGAAGGCUCCCCUCUUGCCUUCUAUUCACUUCUCACAAUGUCCCUUCAGCACCUGACCCUAUACCUGCCGGUUAUUCCUAGGUUAUAUUAUUAAUGCAACAGAGUAAUAUUAAAAGCUAAUGAUUAAUAAUGUUUAUAAUAAUGAUGGAUAAUUGUUCAUGAUCAUCGCUGUAUCUAAUUUGUAUUAUGACUAUUCUUAUUCUAUUUUCUUUAUUAUACUGAAACAGUUUGUGCCUUCAGUCUCUUGCCUCGGCACCUAGGUACUCUUCCGCCCACACGGGACGGGCUGGGGGUGGCCAUCUCGGGCUCUGGGAAGGGGCCGGGGCUGUGAGCUGAAGGCUCCAUCACCUCCAGAUGCUGCAGCAGCAGGAAUGCCGGUUCCUGUACCCUCGGAAGGAGGGGCAGAGUGUGGAGAACAAGCCCAAGAAUCACUAC
Molecule: long non-coding RNA, 1411 nt
Filed under: Homo sapiens (human)
Lineage: Eukaryota; Metazoa; Chordata; Mammalia; Primates; Hominidae
Description: HSALNT0000293
Source: RNAcentral